Molecule: ribosomal RNA, 460 nt
Filed under: uncultured bacterium
Lineage: Bacteria
Description: partial 16S ribosomal RNA
Rfam family: Bacterial small subunit ribosomal RNA
Source: RNAcentral
CCUACGGGUGGCAGCAGUGAGGAAUAUUGGUCAAUGGACGAGAGCCUGAACCAGCCAAGUCGCGUGAAGGAUGAAGGCUCUAUGGGUUGUAAACUUCUUUUAUAUGGGAAUAAAGUGAGGCACGUGUUCCUUUUUGCAUGUACUUUAUGAAUAAGGAUCGGCUAACUCCGUGCCAGCAGCCGCGGUAAUACGGAGGAUGCGAGCGUUAUCCGGAUUUAUUGGGUUUAAAGGGUGCGUAGAUGGUUUGUUAAGUCAGUGGUGAAAGUUUGAGGCUCAACCGUAAAAUUGCAAUUGAUACUGGCAGACUUGAGUACAGUUGAGGUAGGCGGAAUGCGUGGUGUAGCGGUGAAAUGCGUAGAUAUCACGAAGAACCCCGAUUGCGAAGGCAGCUUACUAAACUGUGACUGACAUUGAUGCACGAAAGUGUGGGGAUCAAACAGGAUUAGAUACCCGAGUAGUC